RNAcentral lists this ribosomal RNA (460 nucleotides) under uncultured bacterium. Its description in RNAcentral is "partial 16S ribosomal RNA". It matches the Rfam family "Bacterial small subunit ribosomal RNA", at positions 338 to 795 of the family's 1533-position model. The record is from RNAcentral.
CCUACGGGAGGCAGCAGUGAGGAAUAUUGGUCAAUGGGCGCGAGCCUGAACCAGCCAAGCAGCGUGAAGGAUGACUGCCCUACGGGUUGUAAACUUCUUUUAUCAGGGAAUAAAGUCAGGCACGUGUACCUGUUUGUAUGUACUUUAUGAAUAAGGAUCGGCUAACUCCGUGCCAGCAGCCGCGGUAAUACGGAGGAUUCGAGCGUUAUCCGGAUUUAUUGGGUUUAAAGGGUGCGUAGGUGGGCUGGUAAGUUAGUUGUGAAAGCUCGGGGCUCAAUGGUGGAAUUGCAAUUGAUACUGGCAGUCUAGAGUACAGUUGAGGUAGGCGGAAUGCGUGGUGUAGCGGUGAAAUGCUUAGAUAUCACGCAGAACACCGAUUGCGAAGGCAGCUUACUAACCUACCACUGACGUUGAGGCUCGAAAGUGUGGGUAUCAAACAGGAUUAGAUACCCUUGUAGUC